This 605-nucleotide long non-coding RNA is filed under the name Pan troglodytes (chimpanzee). RNAcentral's name for it is "long non-coding RNA NONPTRT001277". Lineage: Eukaryota; Metazoa; Chordata; Mammalia; Primates; Hominidae. The record is from RNAcentral.
AGCUGCAUUUUAAAGAAAUUCUCAGCCAGGCAUGAGCCACUGCGCUCAGCCCAGAAAAUAAGAGAAUAUAUUCAAGUUGUAAACUAAACAAAGGAUUUUGAAACUGGCAGCUCAUUUUUUAGAGAUGGGGUCUCACUUUGUUGCCAAGGCUGGAGUGCAGUGGCUAUUCACAGGCGCUAUCAUAGCCCAAUAAUGCCUCAAACUCCUGGCCUCAAGGGAUCCUCCCGCCUCAGCCUCUCCAGUAGUUGGGAUUACAGGCACAUGCACCAGGACAAGCUAAAUUUUUUUUGUUGUUUGUUUACCUUUCCUUAUUCCUUUCCCAUUGCUUUUCUUUAUAUAGAACUGAGUUUCCAGCCAGGCACAGUGGCUCACACCUGUAAUCCUAGCACUUUGAGAGCCCGAACAGGCAGAUUGCCUAAGGUCAGGGGUUCAAGACCAGCCUGGCCAACCUGGCGAAACACCAUCUCUACUAAAAAUACAAAAAUUAGAUGGGUGUGGUGGCGGUCACCUAUAAUCCCAGCUACUGGGGAGGCUGAGGCAGGAAAAUUGCUUGAACCUGGGGGGCAGAGGUUGCAGUGAGCCGAGAUCGUGCCACUUAAUUCCAG